CCAUCGGCGUGCUGACCAGCGGCGGGGAUGCUCAAGGGUUGGGUUCUCAGAGAAAGAAAACGUGAUGCAGAAGAGGCUGGGAUUGGAGAAACAGGAGAGUGAAGUGGAAAUAGCCUGGCCUGCGUGACUUAAACCGGCCCGGA
This 143-nucleotide small RNA is filed under the name Pongo abelii (Sumatran orangutan). RNAcentral's name for it is "processed transcript". Lineage: Eukaryota; Metazoa; Chordata; Mammalia; Primates; Hominidae. The record is from RNAcentral.